UGGGGAAUAUUGCACAAUGGGCGCAAGCCUGAUGCAGCCAUGCCGCGUGUGUGAAGAAGGCCUUCGGGUUGUAAAGCACUUUCAGCGAGGAGGAAGGGUAGUGUGUUAAUAGCACAUUGCAUUGACGUUACUCGCAGGAGAAGCACCGGCUAACUCCGUGCCAGCAGCCGCGGUAAUACGGAGGGUGCAAGCGUUAAUCGGAAUUACUGGGCGUAAAGCGCACGCAGGCGGUUUGUUAAGUCAGAUGUGAAAUCCCCGCGCUUAACGUGGGAACUGCAUUUGAAACUGGCAAGCUAGAGUCUUGUAGAGGGGGGUAGAAUUCCAGGUGUAGCGGUGAAAUGCGUAGAGAUCUGGAGGAAUACCGGUGGCGAAGGCGGCCCCCUGGACAAAGACUGACGCUCAGGUGCGAAAGCGUGGGGAGCAAACA
Molecule: ribosomal RNA, 427 nt
Filed under: uncultured bacterium
Lineage: Bacteria
Description: partial 16S ribosomal RNA
Rfam family: Bacterial small subunit ribosomal RNA
Source: RNAcentral